GGAUGCUGCUAAUGAUCUUAUCGGUAAAGGAGAUUCCUUAUUAAAUAUUAGAUUAAAAUCCAUUAUCUAUGCGGCCUCAACCUUAUAAUAAUACGGUAGAUAUACUAUCAUAUCUUGGUGUUAUAAAAUUUAUCAAAAUAUAUUGUCAACAUUCUAAUCUUGGUUGGCUGCUACCCCACAAGACCUGUUAAGCGAUAUAAUCAGUGCAACACCGUCUUUGCUACCUAAAAGUUUAAUUUUGCCUUUCAGUUAUCGUUUUCGGAUGGAAAUUAUGUGGUCAGCGGUUGAAAGUCGUUGAGUCAGUGUCUAUAUUUGUAGCUAAACGGUUUUGGUUCCUGUUGUAGUGAAUUUAGUUUUAAAAGGGAUUUUUUACGUUAUUUAUCAAAGUCGACUUGGAUCGAAAUGAAUUUUAGGCGUGAGGACACACCAUAGUCAGGAAAGGCCGUGUAAGAAAUAUGCCGAAUAAGGAUCACGUCUCGGAUCACAUGCAUAUAGCCUGGCUUGGUACCGUCGUCAUCGUGGUCCAGGUCAACGGUAUAUUAUGAAUGGGAAUAGCGAUCUCAGCAUAAUUUGGGAAAAGGAAAUACACGCGGGCAUUGAAGGGAAAGACAGAUUGGCUUUAACUAUUGAAAGUUUAAGUCGAUCCCGGUGACUUUUAUAUUUUGUUUGCUUUUGUUCAUUUUAUUUUUAAAUCUUAAAUUGUAAUUAAAAUAGUUAUUUUUUUUAAAA
This is a long non-coding RNA of Anthonomus grandis grandis, 729 nucleotides long. RefSeq lists it as uncharacterized. The record is from RefSeq and is a predicted model, not a curated record. NCBI's taxonomy places the organism in Eukaryota, Metazoa, Arthropoda, Insecta, Coleoptera, Curculionidae. The transcript has 2 exons.